This 429-nucleotide ribosomal RNA is filed under the name Gemmatimonadota bacterium. RNAcentral's name for it is "Gemmatimonadetes bacterium partial 16S ribosomal RNA". It matches the Rfam family "Bacterial small subunit ribosomal RNA", at positions 355 to 776 of the family's 1533-position model. The record is from RNAcentral. Lineage: Bacteria; Pseudomonadati; Gemmatimonadota.
UAGGGAAUCUUCGGCAAUGGACGAAAGUCUGACCGAGCAACGCCGCGUGAGUGAAGAAGGUUUUCGGAUCGUAAAACUCUGUUGUUAGAGAAGAACAAGGACGUUAGUAACUGAACGUCCCCUGACGGUAUCUAACCAGAAAGCCACGGCUAACUACGUGCCAGCAGCCGCGGUAAUACGUAGGUGGCAAGCGUUGUCCGGAUUUAUUGGGCGUAAAGCGAGCGCAGGCGGUUUCUUAAGUCUGAUGUGAAAGCCCCCGGCUCAACCGGGGAGGGUCAUUGGAAACUGGGAGACUUGAGUGCAGAAGAGGAGAGUGGAAUUCCAUGUGUAGCGGUGAAAUGCUUAGAUAUUUGGAGGAACACCAGUGGCGAAGGCGGCUCUCUGGUCUGUAACUGACGCUGAGGCUCGAAAGCGUGGGGAGCAAACAGG